RNAcentral lists this ribosomal RNA (495 nucleotides) under uncultured bacterium. Its description in RNAcentral is "partial 16S ribosomal RNA". It matches the Rfam family "Bacterial small subunit ribosomal RNA", at positions 28 to 507 of the family's 1533-position model. The record is from RNAcentral.
GACGAACGCUGGCGGCGUGCCUAAUACAUGCAAGUAGAACGCUGAAGGAGGACCUUGCUCUUCUGGAUGAGUUGCGAACGGGUGAGUAACGCGUAGGUAACCUGCCUGGUAGCGGGGGAUAACUAUUGGAAACGAUAGCUAAUACCGCAUAACAGUAGAUGUUGCAUGACAUUUGCUUAAAAGUUUCAAUUGCACCACUACCAGAUGGACCUACGUUGUAUUAGCUAGUUGGUGGGGUAAAGGCUCACGAAGGCGACGAUACAUAGCCGACCUGAGAGGGUGAUCGGCCACACUGGGACUGAGACACGGCCCAGAAUCCUACGGGAGGCAGCAGUAGGGAAUCUUCGGCAAUGGACGGAAGUCUGACCGAGCAACGCCGCGUGAGUGAAGAAGGUUUUCGGAUCGUAAAGCUCUGUUGUACGAGAAGAACGAGUGUGAGAGUGGCAAGUUCACACUGUGACGGUAUCUUACCAGAAAGGGACGGGUAACUACGUG